RNAcentral lists this unclassified non-coding RNA (343 nucleotides) under soil metagenome. RNAcentral describes it as "partial contains 5.8S ribosomal RNA, internal transcribed spacer 2, and large subunit ribosomal RNA". The stretch from base 1 to 120 matches the Rfam family "5.8S ribosomal RNA", at positions 35 to 154 of the family's 154-position model. The record is from RNAcentral.
GAUGAAGAACGUAGCGAAAUGCGAUAAGUAAUGUGAAUUGCAGAAUUCAGUGAAUCAUCGAGUCUUUGAACGCACAUUGCGCCCCCUGGUAUUCCGGGGGGCAUGCCUGUCCGAGCGUCAUUGCUGCCCUCAAGCACGGCUUGUGUGUUGGGCCCCGUCCCCUCCCCGGGGACGGGCCCGAAAGGCAGCGGCGGCACCGCGUCCGAUCCUCGAGCGUAUGGGGCUUUGUCACCCGCUCUGUAGGCCCGGCCGGCGCCAGCCGACACCCAACUUUUAUUUCUAAGGUUGACCUCGGAUCAGGUAGGGAUACCCGCUGAACUUAAGCAUAUCAAUAAGCGGAGGA